GACGAACGCUGGCGGCGUGCUUAACACAUGCAAGUCGAGCGAGGCCCACCUUUCGGGGUGGUGUCCUAGCGGCGAACGGGUGAGUAACACGUGGGCAACCUGCCCCCGGCUCGGGGAUAACCCCAAGAAAUUGGGGCUAAUACCGGAUACGACCGCUGACCGCAUGGUCUGGUGGUGGAAAGAUUUAUCGGCUGGGGAUGGGCCCGCGGCCUAUCAGCUUGUUGGUGGGGUAGUGGCCUACCAAGGCGACGACGGGUAGCCGGCCUGAGAGGGUGACCAGCCACACUGGGACUGAGACACGGCCCAGACUCCUACGGGAGGCAGCAGUGGGGAAUAUUGCGCAAUGGGCGAAAGCCUGACGCAGCGACGCCGCGUGGGGGAUGACGGCCUUCGGGUUGUAAACCUCUUUCAGCAGGGACGAAGCCCGCAAGGGUGACGGUACCUGCAGAAGAAGCACCGGCCAACUACGUGCCAGCAGCCGCAGUAA
RNAcentral lists this ribosomal RNA (487 nucleotides) under uncultured bacterium. Its description in RNAcentral is "partial 16S ribosomal RNA". It matches the Rfam family "Bacterial small subunit ribosomal RNA", at positions 28 to 523 of the family's 1533-position model. The record is from RNAcentral.